GGUCCCAUAGCUUAGCUUGGUUCGAGCGUCCGGCUGAUAACCGGAAGGUCUUGUGUUCAAAUCACAAUGGGACCACCA
This 78-nucleotide transfer RNA is filed under the name Methanomassiliicoccales archaeon. Its description in RNAcentral is "tRNA-Ile". It matches the Rfam family "tRNA". Rfam says of the family: Transfer RNA (tRNA) molecules are approximately 80 nucleotides in length. Lineage: Archaea; Methanobacteriati; Thermoplasmatota; Thermoplasmata; Methanomassiliicoccales. The record is from RNAcentral. RNAcentral also lists the same sequence under 2 other names.